UAGGGAAUCUUCCACAAUGGACGCAAGUCUGAUGGAGCAACGCCGCGUGGGUGAAGAAGGGUUUCGGCUCGUAAAGCUCUGUUGUUAAAGAAGAACGUGGGUAAGAGUAACUGUUUACCCAGUGACGGUAUUUAACCAGAAAGCCACGGCUAACUACGUGCCAG
RNAcentral lists this ribosomal RNA (164 nucleotides) under uncultured bacterium. RNAcentral's name for it is "partial 16S ribosomal RNA". It matches the Rfam family "Bacterial small subunit ribosomal RNA", at positions 355 to 511 of the family's 1533-position model. The record is from RNAcentral.